RNAcentral lists this small RNA (27 nucleotides) under Bombyx mori (domestic silkworm). RNAcentral describes it as "ovarian small RNA-22412". Lineage: Eukaryota; Metazoa; Arthropoda; Insecta; Lepidoptera; Bombycidae. The record is from RNAcentral.
UAGCGAGACGAGGCUGUCCAAGUAUUA